GAAAUUGGUGUGUUCAAACUUUGUCUCCUGGAAUCGGUUUGGUAGAGUGUUGAGCAACAAUCGUAUUUUGCUUAAGGAAGCUCACUGCAUACAGUUGUUCCCAAGGCAUAACAGCAGAUGUUAUUUGAUGAACACACUGGAGACAAGACAUGAG
Molecule: long non-coding RNA, 154 nt
Organism: Globicephala melas (long-finned pilot whale)
Lineage: Eukaryota; Metazoa; Chordata; Mammalia; Artiodactyla; Delphinidae
Source: RefSeq, a predicted model, not a curated record